This 182-nucleotide unclassified non-coding RNA is filed under the name uncultured Botryosphaeriales. RNAcentral's name for it is "sequence contains ITS2". Lineage: Eukaryota; Fungi; Ascomycota; Dothideomycetes; Botryosphaeriales. The record is from RNAcentral.
CAAACCUCAAGCUUCUGCUUGGUAUUGAGCGGUCCGCCUUCGGAAACGGAGGCGCCCUCGAAACUCGUGGGCGGUGAUGUCCAGCGUCGUAGCGUAGUCAUAAAACCAUUCCGCUUCCGAUUGCUCCUGGACGACUCACCCGCCGGGCGAACCGACGUCCUCGCGGCGUCACUCUUUUCAAG